AGUGAACGCUGGCGGUAGGCCUAACGCAUGCAAGUCGAACGGCAGCACAGUAAGAGCUUGCUCUUACGGGUGGCGAGUGGCGGACGGGUGAGGAAUACAUCGGAAUCUACUUUUUCGUGGGGGAUAACGUAGGGAAACUUACGCUAAUACCGCAUACGACCUACGGGUGAAAGCAGGGGAUCUUCGGACCUUGCGCGAUUGAAUGAGCCGAUGUCGGAUUAGCUAGUUGGCGGGGUAAAGGCCCACCAAGGCGACGAUCCGUAGCUGGUCUGCGAGGAUGAUCAGCCACACUGGAACUGAGACACGGUCCAGACUCCUACGGGAGGCAGCAGUGGGGAAUAUUGGACAAUGGGCGCAAGCCUGAUCCAGCCAUACCGCGUGGGUGAAGAAGGCCUUCGGGUUGUAAAGCCCUUUUGUUGGGAAAGAAAAGCAGCAGGUUAAUACCCCGCUGUUCUGACGGUACCCAAAGAAUAAGCACCGGCUAACUUCGUG
This 492-nucleotide ribosomal RNA is filed under the name uncultured bacterium. RNAcentral's name for it is "partial 16S ribosomal RNA". It matches the Rfam family "Bacterial small subunit ribosomal RNA", at positions 29 to 507 of the family's 1533-position model. The record is from RNAcentral.